AUUGAACGCUGGCGGCAGGCCUAACACAUGCAAGUCGAGCGGAUGAAGGGAGCUUGCUCCUGGAUUCAGCGGCGGACGGGUGAGUAAUGCCUAGGAAUCUGCCUGGUAGUGGGGGAUAACGUCCGGAAACGGGCGCUAAUACCGCAUACGUCCUGAGGGAGAAAGUGGGGGAUCUUCGGACCUCACGCUAUCAGAUGAGCCUAGGUCGGAUUAGCUAGUUGGUGGGGUAAAGGCCUACCAAGGCGACGAUCCGUAACUGGUCUGAGAGGAUGAUCAGUCACACUGGAACUGAGACACGGUCCAGACUCCUAAGGGAGGCAGCAGUGGGGAAUAGUGGACAAUGGGGGAAAGUCUGAUCCAGCCAGGGCGAGUGUGUGAAGAAGGUCUUCGGAUUGGAAAGCACUUUAAGUUGGGAGGAAGGGCAGUAAGUUAAUACCUUGCUGUUUUGACGUUACCAACAGAAGAAGCACCGGCUAACUACGUG
Molecule: ribosomal RNA, 484 nt
Filed under: uncultured bacterium
Lineage: Bacteria
Description: partial 16S ribosomal RNA
Rfam family: Bacterial small subunit ribosomal RNA
Source: RNAcentral